RNAcentral lists this ribosomal RNA (460 nucleotides) under uncultured bacterium. RNAcentral's name for it is "partial 16S ribosomal RNA". It matches the Rfam family "Bacterial small subunit ribosomal RNA", at positions 338 to 795 of the family's 1533-position model. The record is from RNAcentral.
CCUACGGGAGGCAGCAGUGAGGAAUAUUGGUCACUGGGCGUAAGCCUGAACCAGCCAAGUCGCGUGAGGGAUGAAGGUUCUAUGGAUCGUAAACCUCUUUUAUAAGGGAAUAAAGUGUGGGACGUGUCCUAUUUUGUAUGUACCUUAUGAAUAAGGAUCGGCUAACUCCGUGCCAGCAGCCUAGGUAAUACGGAGGUGCCGAGCUUUAUCCGGAUUUAUUGGGUUUAAGGGGUGCGUAGGCGGCCGUUUAAGUCAGCGGUGAAAGUCUGUGGCUCAACCAUAGAAUUGCCGUUGAAACUGGGGGGCUGGAGUAUGUUGGAGGCAGGCGGAAUGCGUGGUGUAGCGGUGAAAUGCUUAGAUAUCACGCAGAACCCCGAUUGCGAAGGCAGCCUGCCAAGCCAUGACUGACGCUGAUGCACGAAAGCGUGGGUAUCGAACAGGAUUAGAUACCCUUGUAGUC